UUAAAGUUGUUGCAGUUAAAAAGCUCGUAGUCGAACCUCGGGUCUGGCGGGAUGGUCCGCCUUACGGUGUGUACUGUCUUGCCGGAUCUUACCUCUUGGUGAAGCCUUAUGCCCUUUACUGGGUGUAGGAUCGAACCAGGAAUUUUACUUUGAGAAAAUUAGAGUGUUCAAAGCAGGCCUUUGCCCGAAUACAUUAGCAUGGAAUAAUA
Molecule: ribosomal RNA, 209 nt
Filed under: uncultured eukaryote
Lineage: Eukaryota
Description: partial 18S ribosomal RNA
Rfam family: Eukaryotic small subunit ribosomal RNA
Source: RNAcentral